Molecule: non-coding RNA, 147 nt
Filed under: uncultured Emergencia sp.
Lineage: Bacteria; Bacillati; Bacillota; Clostridia; Peptostreptococcales; Anaerovoracaceae
Description: SAM riboswitch (S box leader)
Rfam family: SAM riboswitch aptamer (S box leader)
About the family: The SAM riboswitch is found upstream of a number of genes which code for proteins involved in methionine or cysteine biosynthesis in Gram-positive bacteria.
Source: RNAcentral
CCUUAUUAAGAGAGGCUGAGGGAAUAGGCCCUGUGACGCCCGGCAACCUGUGUGCCUUAUGUGGGUUGAUUGUAUGACUGACAUGCGAGACCUGUAUACGGCAGAAAAGGUGCUAAAUCCUACAGGACGAUGGACUGGAAGAUGAGG